UGGGGAUCUUGUGCUUGCUAAUGAAGUACAACAGGUCAUAGAUUUGGAAGAAGAAAACGAUACAGGCACUACUGAAUGCCUCACUGUCGAGAGCUCCUGUUACAGAAACUACACACAGCUGUUUGAACCGAUUGUGAUUGAUGAUGAAGAUCCUACUCCUAACGAAGCCAAAGCUGAGCCCC
This is a non-coding RNA of Maylandia zebra (zebra mbuna), 182 nucleotides long. The record is from RefSeq and is a predicted model, not a curated record. Lineage: Eukaryota; Metazoa; Chordata; Actinopteri; Cichliformes; Cichlidae.